UACAGAGGUCUCAAGCGUUGUUCGGUUUCAUUGGGCGUAAAGGGUGCGUAGGCGGCGCGGUAAGUCGGGUGUGAAAUCUCGGAGCUUAACUCCGAAACUGCAUUCGAUACUGCCGUGCUUGAGGACUGGAGAGGAGACUGGAAUUUACGGUGUAGCGGUGAAAUGCGUAGAUAUCGGGAGGAACACCAGUGGCGAAGGCGGCUACCUGGCCCACUCUUGACGCUGAGGCGCGAAAGCUAGGGGAGCAAACGGG
This 253-nucleotide ribosomal RNA is filed under the name uncultured bacterium. RNAcentral's name for it is "partial 16S ribosomal RNA". It matches the Rfam family "Bacterial small subunit ribosomal RNA", at positions 524 to 776 of the family's 1533-position model. The record is from RNAcentral.